This 496-nucleotide ribosomal RNA is filed under the name uncultured bacterium. Its description in RNAcentral is "partial 16S ribosomal RNA". It matches the Rfam family "Bacterial small subunit ribosomal RNA", at positions 28 to 507 of the family's 1533-position model. The record is from RNAcentral.
GAUGAACGCUGGCGGCGUGCCUAAUACAUGCAAGUCGAGCGAACGGACGCGAAGCUUGCUUCUCUGAUGUUAGCGGCGGACGGGUGAGUAACACGUGGAUCACCUACCUAUAAGACUGGGAUAACUUCGGGAAACCGGAGCUAAUACCGUAUAAUAUUUUGCACCGCAUGGUUCAAAAGUGAAAGACGGUCUUGCUGUCACUUAUAGAUGGAUCCGCGCUGCAUUAGCUAGUUGGUAGGUAACGGCUUACCAAGGCAACGAUGCAUAGCCGACCUGAGAGGGUGAUAGGCCACAAUGGAACUGAGACACGGUCCAGACUCCUAAGGGAGGCAGCAGUAGGGAAUCUUCCGCAAUGGGCGAAAGCCUGACGGAGCAAAGCCGCGUGAGUGAUGAAGGUCUUCGGAUCGUAAAACUCUGUUAUUAGGGAAGAACAUAUGUGUAAGUAAAUGUGCACAUCUUGACGGUACCUAAUCAGAAAGCCACGGCUAACUACGUG